RNAcentral lists this ribosomal RNA (253 nucleotides) under uncultured bacterium. RNAcentral describes it as "partial 16S ribosomal RNA". It matches the Rfam family "Bacterial small subunit ribosomal RNA", at positions 524 to 776 of the family's 1533-position model. The record is from RNAcentral.
UACGUAGGGGGCAAGCGUUGUCCGGAAUCAUUGGGCGUAAAGAGCUCGUAGGCGGUUUGUUGCGUCGGCUGUGAAAUCCCGAGGCUCAACCUCGGGUCUGCAGUCGAUACGAGCAAACUAGAGUGUUGCAGGGGAGACUGGAAUUCCUGGUGUAGCGGUGAAAUGCGCAGAUAUCGGGAAGAACACCCGUGGCGAAGGCGGUUCUCUGGGACGGUACUGACGCUGAGACGCGAAAGCGUGGGGAGCGAACAGG